RNAcentral lists this long non-coding RNA (371 nucleotides) under Phoenix dactylifera (date palm). Its description in RNAcentral is "long non-coding RNA (PDAC_LNC012055)". Lineage: Eukaryota; Viridiplantae; Streptophyta; Magnoliopsida; Arecales; Arecaceae. The record is from RNAcentral.
AGUAAAUUGAAUAUGCUUGCAACUAAAGGAUGCGUGGAUAAGAGUUAAGCAAGCAAUUUAUCUAAGUAAGUAAGUGAGCAAGUUAGACAAUGACAAAAAGCAUCACAAACACAACAAACAUAUAGUGGUUCGGUGCACCCCAGCACCUACAUCCACUCCCCAAGACCUCUUGAAAAUUUUACUAUAAUCCUUCAGAUUACAGCCGGUUGUUUUACAAGCUCACAACCCAACUUAUUGUUUUGCGAGAUCACAACGAACUCGGUCGGUUUUCACAGGCUCACCGACUAGAACCAACCGAUUGUUUUUCUGGGUUCACAAUCAAACCCAGUUGGUUUUCCCAAAGGCUCACCAACCACAACCUUACAACGAUU